CCUACGGGGGGCUGCAGUGAGGAAUAUUGGUCAAUGGGCGCAAGCCUGAACCAGCCAUCCCGCGUGCAGGAAGACGGCGCUAUGCGUUGUAAACUGCUUUUCCAGAGGGCGAAUAGCUUCUACGUGUAGAGGUAUGACGGUACUCUGGGAAUAAGCAUCGGCUAACUCCGUGCCAGCAGCCGCGGUAAUACGGAGGAUGCGAGCGUUAUCCGGAUUUAUUGGGUUUAAAGGGUGCGUAGGCGGAAAAAUAAGUCAGUGGUGAAAACCUGCAGCUUAACUGUAGAACUGCCAUUGAUACUGUUAUUCUUGAGUAUGGUCAAGGUAGGCGGAAUGUGUAAUGUAGCGGUGAAAUGCUUAGAUAUUACACAGAACACCAAUUGCGAAGGCAGCUUACUGGACCAUUACUGACGCUGAUGCACGAAAGCGUGGGGAGCGAACAGGAUUAGAUACCCCGGUAGUC
This 460-nucleotide ribosomal RNA is filed under the name uncultured Bacteroidota bacterium. RNAcentral describes it as "bacterial SSU rRNA". It matches the Rfam family "Bacterial small subunit ribosomal RNA", at positions 338 to 795 of the family's 1533-position model. Lineage: Bacteria; Pseudomonadati; Bacteroidota. The record is from RNAcentral.